Molecule: long non-coding RNA, 609 nt
Filed under: Musa acuminata (dwarf banana)
Lineage: Eukaryota; Viridiplantae; Streptophyta; Magnoliopsida; Zingiberales; Musaceae
Description: long non-coding RNA (MACU_LNC000792)
Source: RNAcentral
GAGAGAGAGAACGAUGGAGUCAUGGGACUUGUCGGCGGUAGAGGGCGACGACGUCGACUUCAUCGAAUACUUCUAAAGCCUUGAGCCAUCGCAGACGCCGAUCCGGACAACCGUCGUCGCUCGUGCCGCCCCCGCUCGGCAUCGUCUUCUUUAACUCCUUCGAGGACGACUUCGACGAUUCCGACACCUGAUGGCGUGGUCGGAACGCCGGCAUGUGGUUUCGGCAUCUCUGCCUCACAAACCAGGGUUUGGUGGAUGUGCUGCUGCUAGUGUUCAUUCUUGUUUCUCUUCUUUGGCAAAGAUUAGAUUGGUCUUUAGCUUGGCAAAUAGUUCUGCAUCGGUUGAUUCGCGGAGGGAGGAGGUACAUCGAUGGUGUCUGAGCGAUCUUGCGUAGUGCGCCAUCGAACGAAACAAUCGUGAUCGGUAUAUUGCUCUCCGAUUCUUGUGGGGUUAGAAUGUUUAAUCUCAAGCAGGAGUCGCUCGCUAUUCCAUUGCCCUGCGCUUAAAGAUGCCUUGGUUUCUGAUGCAUCUCUCUAUUCUUUGCUUAUGGGAAAGACCCUUCAUACCUAGAAUUUUUGGCUUGUCAUUUUUUUGUAGACUUGCUUUAUG